This 85-nucleotide transfer RNA is filed under the name Eubacteriales bacterium. Its description in RNAcentral is "tRNA-Leu". It matches the Rfam family "tRNA". From Rfam's summary of the family: Transfer RNA (tRNA) molecules are approximately 80 nucleotides in length. Their secondary structure includes four short double-helical elements and three loops (D, anti-codon, and T loops). Further hydrogen bonds mediate the characteristic L-shaped molecular structure. tRNAs have two regions of fundamental functional importance: the anti-codon, which is responsible for specific mRNA codon recognition, and the 3' end, to which the tRNAs corresponding amino acid is attached (by aminoacyl-tRNA synthetases). tRNAs cope with the degeneracy of the genetic code in two manners: having more than one tRNA (with a specific anti-codon) for a particular amino acid; and 'wobble' base-pairing, i.e. permitting non-standard base-pairing at the 3rd anti-codon position. Lineage: Bacteria; Bacillati; Bacillota; Clostridia; Eubacteriales. The record is from RNAcentral.
GCGGAUGUGGUGGAAUUGGCAGACACGCUGGAUUUAGGUUCCAGUGCCCACAAGCGUGCAGGUUCGAGUCCUGUCAUCCGCACCA